Molecule: ribosomal RNA, 254 nt
Filed under: uncultured bacterium
Lineage: Bacteria
Description: partial 16S ribosomal RNA
Rfam family: Bacterial small subunit ribosomal RNA
Source: RNAcentral
GACGAACCACACGAACGUUUAUUCGGAAUUACUGGGCUUAAAGGGUGCGUAGGCGGCGCAGAAAGUUGGGUGUGAAAUCCCUCGGCUCAACCGAGGAACUGCGCCCAAAACUACUGUGCUUGAGGAAGAUAGAGGUAAGCGGAACUUACGGUGGAGCGGUGAAAUGCGUUGAUAUCGUAAGGAACACCUGUGGCGAAAGCGGCUUACUGGGUCUUUUCUGACGCUGAUGCACGAAAGCCAGGGGAGCAAACGGG